CCCUUAGAUGUCCUGGGCCGCACGCGUGCUACACUGAUACGUGCAACAAGUUUUUCUCCUGGCUCGGAAGAGUUCGGGUAAUCUUGAUAAUGCGUAUCGUGCUAGGGAUAGAUCUUUGAAAUUAUGGAUCUUGAACGAGGAAUUCCUAGUAAGCAUAAGUCAUCAGCUUGUGCUGAUUACGUCCCUGCCCUUUGUACACACCGCCCGUCGCUACUACCGAUUGAAUGGCUUAGUGAGCCUUUGGGAUUGGCAGCUUGUACCGGCAACGGUAGCAGGCAGCCGAAAACUUAGGCAAACUUGGUCAUUUAGAGGAAGUAAAAGUCGUAACA
Molecule: ribosomal RNA, 329 nt
Filed under: uncultured eukaryote
Lineage: Eukaryota
Description: partial 18S ribosomal RNA
Rfam family: Eukaryotic small subunit ribosomal RNA
Source: RNAcentral